This 12975-nucleotide long non-coding RNA is filed under the name Populus trichocarpa (black cottonwood). RNAcentral's name for it is "long non-coding RNA (PTRI_LNC001781)". The record is from RNAcentral. Lineage: Eukaryota; Viridiplantae; Streptophyta; Magnoliopsida; Malpighiales; Salicaceae.
GUUGCGGGUUGAGAGGAAGGUGAUGAAGUCUGUGGGUUUGUGAUGGUAAUUUGAGAGAGUUAUUGGUUGUGACUGAAAUCCUAUUGAAGGUGGUUUGGUGGUAGCUAUAUGGUUAAGGUUUGUUGGUGGUGAUGAGGAACUGGUGGUCUCGGGUAGAGACUGAUUUGGUGGUUUGUAAGGGAGAACGAUGGGUUUUGGGCACGAAAGAGAUUGAAUGGGAGAGGGGUAAACAGGGGACCAUGUUUGUGGGUUGUUGGUCAAUGAUGGAUGGUUUUUGGAGUGGCUAGAAGAAAAGAGAGGGGUUGUAGUGGUUCGACUAGGACUGUGUGGUGGCUGAUUUUGGGUAUGGUUGAAAGGCUGCUAUGAUGAGUAGUUUCAUUUUUUAGAGUGAUUGAUGCUGAGGGUGAGGGCUGCUACUAGAAGAGAUGGAGGACAAGUUUUGGAUAUAGCAAGAGGGUUAUGAAGAUGACUUGAUGGCUAGUUGGUAAGGGACAUGAUAGGUAAUUGGGUCUAUUAUAAUGGUUAUAGCAGUGGGAAAGCGUUCUGUGUGGACGUGGUGGUCAAUGGUCGAACUUGUCAAGUGUUAGGCCACGUCGAUUAUGUGAGGAGCAUUAAGCCAAAUCCCACAUAUUUGGAUGAGCAGAGGACGUGCGGGACCAUUGCAUGAGCAUGCAUGCAUGCAACGUGGGAAAGGGAUGGACUGGGUCGUGGAGGUUAACGUGCAGAAGUGCAGCAAGAAAUGGUCUUCAAUCAUUGCGAGUUUUACGUCAUUUUAUUUCCGUUAUGAUUGUUCUGUUUUUCACUUUGUUAAUUCUCUGUUUUAUGUGGGUUGAGUCCAUUUGAUUACUGUUAAUUUUCCUUGUAAUUCGACUUAUUUGUUUGUUUGGAUGGGGCUUACUUAUUUAAGCAGCCAAUGCUUUCGUUAAAAUAUAAGAAAAAUUUGCAUUCAACUUGUGAUGCAUUUCUCACCCAAAGAGAAAAUAAACUUUAUUAGCACUUUACACUUUGCAUUUGGGACCUAUCAUUGGUAUCAAAGCCUGGUUGUCAAAGGGGAACUAACAAGGAGCGUAUUGAGCACUUGAAGUCUGAACUUAGUGUAGUUCAGGAAGGACUGCUGCAAAUGGAGGAAACACUCAAUCGACUUUCGACUAUGUUGAUCACAAAUCAAGAGACUCCUAACCACGGCAACCAUCAAGGCAACGAUGGGGGUCAGCAAAUCGUCUCUGCCAAAACAACGAAGCUAGAAUUCCCACGAUUUAUGGGGGAUGACCCAACCGAAUGGUUCAACCGUGUGCAUCAAUUUUUCGAAUACCAAGGCACGGCAGAAGCCCAGAAGGUUUCCAUGGCAGCAUACCAUUUAGAAGGGGAGGCUAACCAAUGGUGGCAAUGGAUUCGUAGGACAUUUAGGUACGAAGGACACGUGCUUUCAUGGGAGAAAUUCAAGGAAGAACUCUAGGCUCGCUUCGGACCCUCGGAGUGUGAGGACUUCGACAAAGCUCUUUCUCGUGUCAAACAGCUAGGAAAUUUGCAAGACUACCAGUGCGAGUUUGAAAAGCUCGGCAACAGGGUCCAAGGAUGGACUUAGAAGGCAUUGGUGAGAACAUUCAUAGGCGGGUUGAAGGCAGAAAUAGCGGAUGGUAUUCGAAUGUUUAAGCCAUAGUCACUCAAAGAGGCCAUUACCUUAGCACGGAUGAGGGACGACCAACUCGCACGACAAAGGAGGUUCAUGCAGCUACUAUCUGAACGAGCUCCGUUUGCUCUUCCAUAAACCACUCGUGAGCCUGCUACACUUGCGGGACCCAUCAAACGCUUGUUUUGGGAAGAAAUGCAGAGGAAAAGAGUAUAAGGCCUCUGUUUCAGCUGCAAUUAGCGUUUUACAACAGGCCAUAGAUGUCAAAAGCCGCAGCUGUUACUCUUAGAGGGUCAUACAUGUAACAUGAUGUGUGAGGACAUUAUGGAUCAACAGAUGCUAGAAGAUGGCCAUGAGGGAGAUACAUUAGUGGUGUAGGAACCUAAACUUGAACCGAAAAUAACCUUGCAUGCUUUAACGGGCUGGACAGCAUCGAAAACCAUACGUGUAUCGGUAAAAAUAGGGUCACACAAAGUAAUGGUUUUAAUUGACAGCGGAUCGACACACAACUUCAUCAGCAAUCGCUUAGCAAGUAUGCUCAGGUUGCCAGUCAUACCAACAAAAUCAUUCCAUAUCCGGGUGGCUAACAUGGAGGGAUUAACAUGUCAGGGGCGUUACGAUAAGGUAUGGGUAGAGUUACAAGGCACCGAAUUUUACCUCACCCUUUUCUCUUUGACCUUAACAGGUCUUGAUCUUGUCUUGGGCAUUCAAUGGUUUAAAAUGCUGGGAUCUAUGGUAUGUAACUGAAAACAGUUGGCCAUGGAUUUUAUUUGGGAAAAUCAAGACCGUAGGCUACAAGGAGUGGAUGUGCAAACCAUUCAGGCAGUUUCACCAACAGAAAUAGCGAAGGAGUUUAGUCGUGGACAUGCGCUCUUUGCUGUGUAUUUCCAAUCAACCAUGGAAACCGCACCACCUGAAUUACCAACUCAAGAUGAAAAAUAGAAUAUGCACUUGUUGUUGAAGGAAUAUGCAGACGUGUUCCAAGAGCCAUCAAGAUUACCACUUGCACGUGAGGUGGAUCAUUGUAUUACGUAAAAGAAGGAAGCCUAUUAAUGUACGCUCGUAUAAGUAUGCCCACUUCCAGAAAACUAAAAUCGAGAAAUAGGUCCAGGAAAUGCUAGACUCGGGACUCAUCCGUCCUAGCACCAGUCCAUUCUUGUCGCCGGUGCUACUGGUAAAGAAGAAAGAUGGCAGUUUGUGAUUUUGUACAGAUUACCGUUCACUCAAUGUCGUUACCGUCAAACAUCGUUUUCCCAUUCCAACAGUUGAUGAUAUGUUGGAAGAAUUAUAUGGUGCCGCUUACUUCACCAAAUUAGAUCCGAUGUUAUUAAAAUUGUUUUUCGUACUCAUAACAGCCAUUACGAAUAUCUCGUAAUGUCUUGUGGCUUGUGUAACGCACCCUCGACAUUCCAAGCCAUCAUGAACUCAAUAUUUUAACCUAACCUUUGAAAGUUUAUUUUGGUCUUUUUUUAUGAUAUUUUGGUCUAUAGUUCUACUUGAAAUGAGCAUCUAUUGCAUGUUAGACAAACAUUGGAAACUUUAUGACAACACCAAUUCUUUGCCAAGGCCAGCAAGUGCAUGUUUGGCCAAUAGGAACUGGAAUACUUGGGGCACAUUGACACACAUCAGAGAGUGAAGGUUGAUAACAAUAAAAUUGCAGCCAUGGUUAUAUGGCCACCCCUCACUAAUAUUUCUGAGUUAUAUGGUUUUUUAGGCCUAACAGGAUAUUACAGGAAAUUCAUUCAAAACUACAGCAUCAUAGCAAGACCCCUGAACAAUCUGCUUAAGAAGGGAAAAUUUGGUUGGAAUGAAGAAGCCAACACAGCCUUUCUAGCUCUCAAAUAAGCAAUGACAACUACGCCUACAUUUGCUACGCCUGAUUUCAAUGACUUUUUCACCAUUGAAACCGAUGCAUAUGGGGACAGAAUUGGCGCAGUUUUGUCACAACAAGGUAAGCCGAUAACGUUUAUGAGUUGAGCAUUGGGGGUUACAAAAAAAUCCUGGUCUACUUACGCCAAUGAGAUGUUGGCCAUUGUGGAGGCCAUACGUUUAUGGCGUCCUUAUCUCUUGGGAAAAAAAUUCUUCAUUCUUACUGACCAUUGUAGUUUGAAAUAUUUAUUGGAACAACGUGUGGCUAUGCCUGAACAACAGAAAUGGGUGAUCAAGCUUCUGGGCUACGAUUAUGAGAUUAUUUAUCGUCUAGGCCAUGAGAAUUCAACAACGGACGCUCUCUCACGCAGGUCUGGUAGUCCAGUUCUUCACCAUUUGCAUAUGCCAAUAGUGACCAUAUGGGAUGAAAUUCAAAAGGCUUAUGUGAGAGACUCUUACAUCCAAUCUCUAACUUGUUUGUCCAAGGAUCAACAAGCUGGACCGUAUGCAUGGCGUAAUGGGUUGCAGUUCUUUAAAGGAAGAGUAAUCAUUCCUUCUCAGGCAGCAUUAUGAUCACAAUUACUUCAUGAAAUGCACGAUACAAAAAUUAAAGGACACUCUAGGGUCUUCCGAACGUUCAAGAAAUUAGCUUAACAUUUUAUUGGCCUAAAAUGUACCAGGCGGUGCAAAAGUAUGUCAAAAAAUGUGAUAUUUGCCAGAGGGUGAAGUUUGAAACAUUGUCUCCAGCGAGGCUCCUGCAACCGUUACUAGUUCCAUGUCAAGUCUAGGACGACAUCACCUUAGACUUCAUUGAAGACCUACCGACAUCCCAAGGCAAAGACACAAUCUUAGAAGUUAUUGACCGUUUGAGUAAGUCUGCUCCUUUUCUAUCCUUAACUCAUCAUUUUACUGCUAAAGUCGUUGCAUAACGGUUUGUAGAAGGCAUCAUUAAAUUGCGUGGCUUACCCAAGUUUAUCGUCAGCGAUCGGAACCCCAUCUUUAUCAGCAAAUUCUGGCAAGAGUUUUUUCACAUGUCCGGCACCAAACUACAACUCAGUUCCACCUAUCAUCCGCAGACGGACGGACAAAUAGAAGUUGUUAAUCGCUGUGUUGAGCAAUACCUCCGGAGUAUUGGAGCAACUACCUUCUAUGGGCUGAGUUCUAGUACAAUAUAACUUAUCAUGCGUCCAUUGGGAUGACCCCUUUUUAAGCACUAUAUUGGACGCUUACCUCCUGCAUUUCCCAUUUACCAUAAUGGGUGUUCUUUCGUUCAGGAAGUAGACCACAGUCUAGAGGUUCGCGACAAGCUGUUGCGUCAACUCAAACGCAAUCUGGAGACUUUCAUUAAUCGCAUGAAGCAAAUUGCAAAUAAAAAAUGUCGGGAUGUUUCUUUCAAAAUUGGGGAUUUGGUGUUUCUGAAGCUGCACCCUUACAGGCAACAGUCCGCCUUCAAACGCGCCCACCAGAAGCUAGCUAAUCGCUUCUACGGCCCAUACCUAGUGAUACAAAAAAUUGGGUCCGUUGCAUACCUUCAUAUGUCGGACGGUGCCCACAUUCAUCCUGUCUUCCACGUCUCGCUCUUAAAAAAGUACGUUGGUGAGUCUGCAACACCUUCAAAAGAAUUGCCAUCCGUUACCGAUGAUGGGGUGGUUAUACUCGAACUUCAGCAUAUCCUGGACACUCGUUGGGUCAAACGAGACAAUAAAUUUAAAGAAGAAACUUUGGUACAAUGAAAGCAUCUACUAGUUGAGGAUGCCACAUGGGAGACCUAUUAGUCUUUACUUGAGCGAUUUCUUUUUGUGGACCUUGGGGACAAGCGUCCACUUAAUAGGGAGGGUAUUGUUAGGCCACGUCGAUCUAAGAUGAGCCUUAAGCCAAAUCCCAAAUAUUUGGGAUGAGCAGAGGACGUGCAGGACCAUUGCAUGAGCAUUCAUACAUGCAAUAUGGGAAAGGGAUGGACUUGGUCAUGGAGGUUAAUGUGCAGAAGUGUAGCAGGAAAUGGUCUUCCAUCGUUACGAGUUUUACGUCAUUUUAUUUCCGUUAUGAUUGUUCUAUUUUUCGCUUUAUUAAUUCUCUGUUUUAUGUGGGUUGAGUCCAUUUGGUUACUGUUAAUUUUCCUUGUAAUUCGAUUUGUUUGUUUGUUUGGACGAGACUUGCUUAUUUAAAAGCCAAUGCUUUUGUUAAAAUAAUAGAAAAAUUUACAUUCAAUUUGUGAUACAUUUCUCACCCGAAAAGAAAACAAACUUUAUUAGUACUUUACUCUUUGCGUUUCAGACCUAUCAUCAAGGGUGCUGUGUGGUGGUUUCCAUGGUUGGGGAAGAUAGUUCUAUGAAAUCGUGGGCUUACAAUGGGUGUAUUUAUUGAAAUGGUUUGUUACAAUCCCAGAAUGUCUGCAUUCUCGUUUCCCCCUUGUGUUUGUUGGAUAUCUCCCCUGUGAUUUGAGUUGAAGGAAGGAGACAAUUCCAAGAAACAAGGACACAAUGAGUUGUCGUGGGAAUGACAAUUUGGGGAGAAGGGACAAUGGAUGAAGAUUGAAUCUCUGUUGUUGUGGGAAUGACAAUUUUUUGUUUCUGUGAUUAUCAAAGGUUGAGGAAAUUCCCCCAUGUGAUUUUAGUUGAAAGAGAAGGAAGAUUUCCCCCCUAGUGUUGCUGUUGUGUUUUUAGACUUUGAAUUCCUCGCCUUCAAUAGGGAGAAAGGCUGGAAUCUGGUUGGGUUUUGAUCUUGAUUGCUAACAAUUUGGGAUUGAUUUGCAAAGAAUAAAUCAAGGUUGAUUGUUGUAAUCUUGGGAUUGAAUUGGCUGAGAAAAUCUUCCCCUUUUGGCAGUGAGAAAUCUGCCUUCUCAAUGAGAAAAAUGACUGAAGUGAAUUAUGGUCUGUAGUUAAGAAAACUGUACAUCUGGGUUUAAUUGUUGGAAUUGAUUUCUGGCUUUAAUUGCUGGGUAAUCAACUGUAAUUUAGGGCUAAAUGUCUAGAUUCUUAGACUGAAAAAAUGAACAUUGUAGUAUGAAAAUUCAGUUAGACCCUGAAAUGUUUAUACCUUUUUAUUGUAGUCCCUAGCUCUUGGAUUUUUCAAUAUUCAUUCAAUCAAGGUUUUAAUUUUAGAUUUUAUCUUCAAUUUAAUCCUUAAAUUGAAUUUAAUUGAUACUUUUAAUAUGGUCACUAUUCCAAUUUAGUCCUUCAUUUUUAAAAUUAUGCAAUUUUGCCCCUAAUUGAAUCACAUUUCUCUUUUUCAAUUGCAUUUUUAAUUGAAUCAAUUGGACAGCAUGUUAUUAAUUCGCCCUUAGUUCUUCAAUUCCUUUGGGUAGUUUUUAGGAAUAAAUUUAACCCCAUAUUUACUCUAAAACAUACGGAAAAUAUAGCAUACAAUAUGUUGAUAACCCCAAAUCAAACUCCCCGAGUGUAUGGAAAUGGGCAAGGCAAGUAUAGUUGGUGGAUACAGUUCGAAAUUAGCAAUCCUCUUGAAGAAUUCCCUAACUGGUUUCGUUAUAGAUUUUUCUACCAAGGAAUAAAUUCUAUCAGCAUACCGAGUAUAUAAGCAAGAAACAUUUGAAGCCUGUAGGCAAUCCUAUCCAGAUCUUAAUAUCUCGAAGGCAUUAUUGAAGUUUGUAUCUAAAUUUCAGAUCCCUUGAUCCUAAAAUGGGAUACCCAGCUCCUAAUAAGGAGAUUGAUAGUUCAAGAGGUAUCCCUCACAAAACCUUCGUUAACACAGAGGAUCCUCUGCAAAUGGUGGAAUAAGUUUCCUCUGCUAGCUAGCUCUGUAAAAGAAGGCAUUGGAGAAUCUCUUCUCCUGAAGCUCUUAGAGAACAGGAAGAAGAUGAUGAUGAUGAUGCAAUGCUAACAUAUCCUCUUCUCUUUUUCAAGAUAGCCGGCGACUUCCUAUUUCCUUGGUGACUUUCUAAGCAUCUUAGUAAAAAUCUUAUCAGGAGGCGACACAACUCUAGUCAUAUGCAGGAUAUGGGAACCCGUAACAUUACUUUCAUUAUUAUUUUUUUGUUUCAUAUGGAAAUUAUUAUACCUUUACUUUUUCAAAAGCUAAAGUUAUUUGUAUGGUUGUAAUAAUGAUGCAUCAGCUUUUAGAAAAUAAGAUUUUUUCUCUUUUGUUUUUUUUUUUCUUGUAAUAAUGAGUUUUCAAUUGUAAUAUAUAAAAUUUUCUAAUAAGAAAAACCUUCUCUCUAAAAGGCUAUCUCGUAUACUCUCUCUCUUUUUUAAAUUUUGUCUAUCCUUGAUUGUGGAUUUACUAUUUUCAUUACGAGAUGACAUAUCCGCGCGCUGCUACAAAUUUAUAAAAUAAAUAUACUUAAUAGUAUUAUAAUUGUAAAUCAACACUAGAUAAAUAAUAGAAACUAAAGGUAUGAUGGAGCCAAUAUUUCAUGAUGGAAAAAAAAGUUGUGUUGGUGAUCAAAAACUUAGAAACUGAAUAAAAUGAUUUGUAGCAAUCCACAGUGUUUUGUGAGGAAAGAUACAGUGCUUUCGCUACAUGAUUUAACAUUUCUGUUAAUAAAAAGCAAAAAACAUUACAAAGCAAAAUUCUCUACUAACUUAAUAUUAAAAAAAAUCGACAAAGAUAAUUUUGGAAGAAAAAAAAACUAUAAGGAAAAACGUUGUAGCAAUUGACAAUGUUUUAUGAGGAAAACUACAGUGUUUUCCCCAAUACAAUCGACAAAGACAAUUUUAGAAAGAAUCAUAAAAAAAACCAUUUAGAGAAAUAUUGUAGCAAUCUAUAGUGUUUUGUGAGGAAAACAAAAACACUUUCCCAUAUGAUUUAGUUUUAUUGUAAUUAUAAUUUUUAACCAACUCAAUAUUCAAAAAAAAAAUCGACAAAGAUAAUUUUGGAAAAAAUCAUUACAAAAAUCAUGUGGGAAAACACUGCAGCAAUUUACAGUGUUUUAAAGAAAAAAAAUAUUACAAAGCUAAAUUCUCAAUCAGCUCAAUAUUAAAAAAAUAAAAUCGACAAAGACAAUUUUAAAAAAAAAACAUAAAAAAACAGGGACAAAAAAACCAUGAUGGAAACAUUGUAGCAAUUCACAGUGUUUUUGUGAUGAAAGUUAUGAUGCUUCCCCACAUGAUCUAACCUUAUUUGUAAUGACUUAUAAUUGUAAUUCUCAACUAGUUCAAUAUUAAAAAAAAAUAAAAUUGACAAAGAUAAUUUAAAAAAAAAUCAUAAGAAAAAAAAACAUAUGUAGAGAGACACUGUAGCAAUCCACAGUAUUUUGUGAGGAAAGUUACAAUGUUUUCCCCACAUGAUUAAGCUUUAAUACAAAGUUAAAUUCUAACCACCUCAAUAUUAAAAAAAUAACAUCGACAAAGAUAAUUUUGGAAAAAAAUAUUACAAAAAAAAAACAAAAAAAAACUGGAAAAAAAACCGUGCGAGGAAAAACUGUAUCAAUCCAUAGUGUUUUAUGAGGAAAGUUACAGUGUUUUCUACACAUGAUUUAGCUUUACUUGUAUUUACUUGUAAUUGUAAUUCUUAACCAGUUUAAUAUUAAAAAAAUAAAAUUGACAAAGACAAUUUUAGAAAAAAAACAUAAAAAAACAAAAAAAAAAUUAUGUGAGAAAAAACAUUGUAGCAAUCCACAGUAAUUUGCGAGGAAAGCUACAGUGCUUCUCUCACAUAUUGUAACUGUAAUUUUUAAUCAGCUUAAUAUUAAAAAUUAAAAUCGAAAAAUAUAAUUUUGGAGAAAAUCAUAAAAAAAAAAACAAAAACAAAAAAAAAUCAUGUGGAGAAACACUGUAGCAAUCAACAAUGUUUUAAAGGAAAAAAAUUACAAAACUAAAUUCUCAAUCAGCUUAAUAUUAAAAAAAAAUCGACAAAUAUAAUUUUGGAAAAUAAAAAAAUUAAAUAGAAAAACCAUGUGAGAAAACACCGUAACAAUCCACAAUAUUUUAAAGGAAAAAAAUUACAAAGUGAAAUUUUUAACCAGCUCAAUAUUAAAAAAGUGAAAUUGACAAAGAUAAUUUUGGGAGAAAAAAAAAUGAAAACAAAAAAGAAAAAAGGGGAUAAAAAAAAGUGCAAAAAAAAAGUAAAAAAAAAACAAAAAAGUGACAAAAAAACAAAAAAAAAGUGAAAAAAAAAAGAAAAAGUGAAAAAAACUAAGUGAUAAAAUAAACUAAAAGAAAGGAUAAUAAAAAGAAAAGGCAAGAGUGAUAGUACCAACACUAUUCAAAAUCAGUAUCGUUAUCGUGAAAUAAUAAUAAACCUAAUAAAGAAAUAAAAAAUAUAUUUUUUUUGAAAUAAAAAAUGAUCCUUAGUGAAAUAAUUGAUAAGAUUUAUAUAAGAAUUAAAUUUAAAAAUUCAGAUUUUUGAUAAAAAAUCACAAAUCGACUACUUUUACACUAACAUGUAGAAUUCUCAAUCCAACUGACAGAUCAAACUUUAAUAUUACAGGGAGUCUCUUGACAUGUUGUGUUAUCUUAUUUUAAAAUUUUAGAUUGAAAAAUUAUUAAUUAGCAUAAAACCAGUCUAUAAAUGAGUUGUUUCCAAUAGCAAGAACUAUUAGAGAAGGAGAGCUUCUCUCCAUUUUUUUCCCCAAGUUUUCUUUGAAAUUCACCUAAUAAAGGUUGAUUAAGGUGUGAUAACCAAAUUUUUACCCAUUUUAUUUUAAUUUAUUUUAAAGGGUUAAAAUUUGGAAUUUAAAGAUUGAGGACUGAUUUUUUUUUAUGGAGUGUGGUUUGAUAAUGUAUAAAAGAAUCAAGGACAAAUCACCAAGAUAUUCUGCUAAUCAUUUUCAAUUUUAAAAUUUGAAAAAAAAAAAGGAUGAGUUUGUGAGACUUUGAAACUUCUGUACCAUAUGGGGGGGCGGGGGGAUACCCAUAUAAACCCUCUCCGUGAACCAGCACCACACAAUUUCCCCAUUAACGAAAAAAGAAAAAACAAGAUUAGUUCCUCUUGUAUGCUUUCAUUAAAGGCCAAUAGCAAUAGCUCUCUCUCCUCUCUCAGUGUCUCUCACACUGAUCUAGCAAUCUCCUAAACCAAUCUGACAUCAUCUCCUCCUACCCACGACAAUUCCAACGAGCAGCAACACUGUUGUCGUCAACCUUAUCCCGGUCAUGACCCAACGAUAACUACCAUUAGUUGGUUCUUUAGCAGAGAUAACCUCACAUUCUUUUCUUCUCUUUUAGACACUAGCCCACACAUGCCAACCAUCGGUAACAACCUCCCCAUCCAAAAAUUAGCAACAUAAUCUCGUAGCUCCAAAACUAUCACCGACCAACGCCUUCUCCUCCUAAACCACAAUGCAAGGCACUCUUCAUGGCAGAUCCACAAUAACCCAACAAUAACAAUCAGAAAAGAGAAGAAGAAAUUACAGUAGAGAAAGAGAGAGGCAGAUCUUAAAAAAAUAAAAAUAAAUAAAAACUACUAUCUUGUGUUGAUUUCUUUGUCUUGCAGGGAGUGGUGAUACUCACCGCCAGUAGGGAAAGGAAGAGGUGAAAGAGUCGCUUCAAAGCCACCAAUUUUUGCUCUUCAAUUAAUGACGACAUGUUGUUCCAUGCACCCACAGUGACGAUGGUGUGAGGAACCCCCAAGCUGCCAAUACUCCCUCAUGUCUAGUGCAUUCCUAUAACUUCUGACAUUUUUUUGUUCAGAAGGUGUUUUGCAAAUUUUGGAUGACUUUGUGUUUUUUUUUUUUUUUUUUUUUUGAUUUACGUGGGGUGUCCGGGCCAGCUUACGCGCACCACGACUAUUCCCCACGGCCCACUGGACAUCCUGCAAGCCCAGGAGCAGGUAAGGCACCGCGGGGGUGACAGGCGUGCACAUAAAGGGUCGAACCCGGGACGGGGGCGGAACAAGUCACACGGUUGACCACAGCAGCUAGACCCUCAAGUGCGACUUUGUGUGUUUUGAUUACAUGUAAUAUGUGUAAUCGUAAGUGUGUGAGAGUUAAUUAGUGAAAGAGAUCAGGUGUGUAUGAUGUAUGGUGCCGCACAUGGAUGUGCGGGGUCGUUUGGAGCCGGAAUCUAAUUGUUUGGUUCAAGGUUGUCAGGUAAUCUAGGUGUACUGGUCUUGUCAGAACUUCGAGGAUAACAGACUAGUUGUGGUUAAGAAAAGUAUUAACACCUCUAACGUACCCUACCUGAAGUAAGUUGCUUUGUGGUUUAGAGGUUUUGAUGGUUUUUUAGUUUUUUUGUAAUUUAGGAUUGAGAUUACUCAUAUGAAUAAAUCUGGUGUUUAAAAAUUUAUAAUAGACUCGUGUACCCAUAUAAAUUCUUAGAAAAAAAUUCUUUGUAAUUUGAGUAUUACGGUGAAAAAUACUCAAUUAAAAUUGAUGAAUAUUUAGAAUAACUAAGAAUUUUCUGUUCAACUCUGAUAUUUUAAAUACCAACCUCACUUAUAGGUCCAACAUUAUAUACUAAGAUUUUUAACCAUUAAUUCUCAUGAAUUAAAAAAUAGUGAUUUAUUGAAAUAUUGGCUAAAUUCUCAUGAAUUUAAUAAACUGAUUAUUAAAUCCUAAAAUGCAUGCAAAUAUGUAUUUUGAAUUUUUAUAUGGAAAUACUACGCAAUAUGAUUUCUUUGUAUUUUUUGAGACACUCGGCCAAAUACAAUACAAAAAAACAUUUUAUUUUAUUUUUUACUUAUAAUUUUCUUGAGAAUAAAAAAAAUUGAGGUUUAAGAGGAAUUUUUCUAAAAAAGCAAAAUCCUAAAAAGAAACUAAAAAAAAGUUGUUUUUUUUUGUUUUUUUGUUGUUUUUUCUAUGUUUUAGUGUGUGUGUGUAUUUUGUAAACCCCGGGAAAAAUCAAGGUUGGAUUAAAUAAAAAAAAAUAAACUAAACUAAAAGUUGUGAGGCAAAAAUAAUACACUGAAAGAAAAUAGGGCCUAGAUGCAAAUAAGAAUAAUUAUAGAGCAUAAAUACCCCUCUUCUUACCAAAAAAUGGGCAGCUAUCGUAAGGAAGGAAAAGAGAGAGUUUUUGUAUAAAUUUUUACAAAUCUAGAGAGAAACACCAAAAUUUCAAGAACUCAUCCAAGAUUAAGGAUUAUAGGUAGAAUAAACACUUGUGAGCAAGGGAUUAACAAGAAAAUUUGAACAAGAAGAGAAGAGGGGAGGGUCGGCUGUGAUUAGAAAGAAAAUGAGGGAGUUGAAGAUCGAAACCUUGAUUAUUACCGGUAAGGUGUUCUAAACAUGGUCUUAUGAGUAGUUUUAAAGUCGAUUAUGAAUUGAUGCUUGAAUGUUGAAUUACAAAUUAGGGUUCUUAGACUUGAAUUGAGAAAAAAGUAUUAGUUGCUAAAAUUAAAUAACUUCAUGUGUUGUGUGUAAAUGGAAAGGUUGACGAACCUGGAUAGUUUCGUCUCUUGACUUUCAGAGAGAUUUCAGGUUAGAGGAUGAAGCAAUUAAGAUCAGGUUCCUCAUAGAAAUUGUAGUUUUGGAUGUCGACUAACUAAGGAAAUUGGUCUUGCUCAGUUUGGAGUUAUAGAACUCCAAUUAUGGGUCAUCAAUCAAGAUUGAGUCAUGACAAACCCUAUAGGGCAGUAGGUCUGGUUUG